Long non-coding RNA from Alligator sinensis (Chinese alligator), 1556 nucleotides. RefSeq lists it as uncharacterized. The transcript has 5 exons. NCBI's taxonomy places the organism in Eukaryota, Metazoa, Chordata, Crocodylia, Alligatoridae. The record is from RefSeq and is a predicted model, not a curated record.
AGGAUCUGAGGUCUGAAAUCUAUGUGUUUUCUAGACUGUUUGAAAUUCAUGGCAGUGCUGGCAUGAGUCUUGAAGUGGAGCGCCUUCAGAUUGAAAGAAGAGUGAAGUUAUUUUAUGAAAUGUCACUGUGUGAUACCCUUCCAAAUCUGGAAAACUUCUUUGUACUUUACCUAACUAUACCAGUUACCUACAGCAUCAUCAGAGAAAAGCUUUUCUUCAUUGGGGCAGCUGAAAACUUACCUGGGGACUACAAUGACAGAUGCUCAUGUUUCUAACCUGGGAAUACUACAGACUGAAAAACAAGCUAUCAAUGUACCUGACAUCAUUGCACAGUUUGCCAGCAGAAAGGACCAAUGCCUACAAUUCUUCUAACAAGGUAUUUUGCCCACCCCCACAGUGAUGCAGAUGAAGAGCAUGAAGAGAAGAAAGAAGCACAAAGCUAAGUACACAUUCUUUAUUUGGUUUGGCUUGUGGGAUGUUCCUGAAUAUACCUGUGAUUUUUUUGUUUGUUUGUUUUGUUUUCCUUGUGAUUCCUUGAUUGAUUUGCCCACUGCCUGUGAUGAAAAUGAAGGUCUCAAUAGAGCUUUCCAGGGCACAAAGCUCUUUAUUCAGUUUGGUUUGAAUUUGAUUUGUGAGUGUGACUCUACAAGCAUUGCCAGGACCCUGAAGUCCAACUACCUGGAGGCCAGGGUUCCUGCUAGUGGACCCGUGGUCCACCCAUAGAAGCAACAGCAAAGUAGUCAGGGAGAGCCAGGGGAAUACCUGUGUUCACCUGACCCGACUCACAAAUCUUUGCCUCAUGCAGAUAGGAUGACUUAUGUGAAUGCCUUGAUAUGUUGCUGUUACUCAGUUUAUUGUUACAGAAGUAUAGAAGUGGAUAUGGGGUUUUUGGCCUGCCCACAAAUUGUGCCCCCCCCCCCCCCCCGAGUCUCAGAAGACACCAGUUGCCCAUGCAGAUGCUGACAAUUAUAUUCCAUCCCAUCUUUAUUAUAUACUUGGAUAUCCCUCCACUCUGGUCACUCUGGCAUUGGAGAGACAAGAAAAUGAGAUCAAAAGAGAGGCUCAAGAGAGAUGUCUGGAGUGGUCUAACUGAUGCAUUUCUGGGUUUGGAGCCUGCAAGUGGGAACAGGCAGCAGCAGUGUCGAUGGCGGUGGUGCGGCGGCGGCGAGCGGGGAGCUCCUGCAGGCAGCCAUGGUGGGGCCAAGCUGAGCAGGGAGCUCCUACAGGCAGCUGCAGCAGUGUUGGCAGCGGGAGGAAGAGUGGCAAGUAUCGACCAGUGAGACCUUAGCAACCACUCAGCUACCUUUGUACUUUAAAGAUCUUCAGUUCCUGAGUUCUCUCCCCAAGAACAUACCCCGUGAGCUUCAAAAUAUUCAUUUUAUUUUCUUCAAACAUGAUUAAAAUGCUGACACUUUUCCCCUGAGAAGACAGAGAAGCUUUAGUCUACACUUUUGCUUUUAUUGCCUCUAGUCUGGACUACUGAACUUCACUUUUUUUAGGAGUUUCAGUUGGAUCUAAUAAUAGAUCCCACAAAGCAGCUGCAAGAUUUGCUAAGC